ACAGAUAUAUAUACAUAUAUAACCUUACACAGCUUGUGAUAAAUAUGGAACAAAUAUAGGCCCUAUUUUAAUAAGGUGUUAUUCAGAGGUGUUAUUCAAAUUAUUUAACAAUAAGAGUGAGGCAGAGGGAGAGAGUUUGCCUGACCAAUGAGAAUAAAUAUUGGUCAGUGUAAGAAUGAGUUAGCAUGAGAAUGGCCAUCUUAAGGGCCAAAAAGCCAUUUUCUGAGUGCAUGACUCAGGAAAGGAGGAACUGGGAAAGGCUUAAUAAACAGGUUUUGAAGAACAAGUUAAUCAUGGACACGGGGUUGUGGGCGGCUGCGACCCUUGGUCAGCUAAUCAUGGACACCAGGUUGUGGGCGGUUGUGACUCUGGUCAGCUUAUCUUGCUGAACCACCCUAACAUUUGAGGAGUGGUCUUAUCUUGCUUUUGCUUAACCCCCAGGAUGUUGCACAAGCCAAAAAUUAUGGAAAAUUGCUGUGAGUAAGUGCUUUUUGAAAAUGCCAUAUAAACCUCUGGCUUUGAGUGCUCUGGGUCCUUGUUGAAACUCGCUGCAUCGGCAGACACUUGGACCCCAGCUAGCUGGAAAUAAACCUCGCUGUGUGACUUGCAUUAUUGUGAGUGUCUUCUGUCUAUUUGAGAGGUAGUCGACUCCAGACCCUAACAUUUUGGGGGCUUGUCCGGGAUCGCUAGAAUCCUCCUCAGGGAGACAGAUGACCCCUGAUACCAAGGUUUGCUCAGAAGCUGCGGAAGGAGGUUUGGCCACCUCCAAGAGGGGAGGGCAUCCUCGACUGGAGAGACUGAAACUGAUCUCUGCCUGAUCCUAAAAGGGGAGGACUGAAACAGGUCCUUGACUGGAGAGACUGAAACAGGUCUCCGCCUGGUCUCAAUUGAAAAUUCUCAUGGAAAGGAAGGAAUGGGUUAUGACCCUGGAAGUCUCCAUUACUGAAAGUCACGGGAGACGUCCCCGAUGAGGCGGUGCCCGAACGACGUCUGCAGUGGACGCCGUUUGGACAGCUAGUUAAGGAUCCUGAGCAUUGUGUGAUUGAGAUGGCACCUGUGGAUGUGGUGUGGCUGACCGGCCGGUGGGUGUUUGAAAACUCAGUUCGAAUUUGUAUGUUUGCUUGCUUUGUGUCCCUUGUCUUUUCCUGGCUUCUUUUGUAAUAAUAAUGGGACAGGCUCAAGUAACACCUUCUAACUUCAUCAAUCUCAUGGAACCUGAUGCUCACCGCUGCAAGGCAAUCUCUUCUUCUCAUGUUACUCCCACACAUGGGAUCAUCAAAUGCCACUGAGCCAGAAGACCCUAGUGAGUCUCUGUGGUUUGGACCUGCCUCCUGGCUGCAGCGGCCGUGUGAUGAUUGUUUGAACUCCCUACCUAUUCAGCUUCUAACUGCCUGUGGAAUGGGGGAAUUUAAAUCAUGUGUUUAAUGCCUUUACAAUCAGCCUCAUUAUAUCUGGCAAUAGGAAAAGAAGACACAGCAGUAUGUUGAAAUGCUUUGGAAGAGGAAGAUGCACCAGGGAUGUGUGUACGCAGAAGAAAGGCCAUGAGAGGACACAGUGAGAAGGAGACUAUCAGCGAGCCAAGGAGACAGGCCUCAGGAGCAACCAAGCUGCCAGCCCCUUCACCUUAGACUUCAAGCCUUCCGUCUUGUGAGAAAAUAAGUGUUUGUUGCUUAAGCCACCCAGUUCGUGGCAUUUUGUUGUGGUGGCCCUAGCACACAAAUAUACCACCUAAAGGCCAUUUAUAAAAAUAAAAGCAAAAAGACCUUACUAAGUAAUAUCAUUUGGGUUUUAAUGUUUUCCAACUUUAAAAUUGCAUUCUGUGUAUGAAGAAAUGGGCUGUACAUUGUCCUGGUCACAGUCUCUAUUCUCACAUCUCAUUACUCAAAUAAUGAAAUAUGUUUGUGGAUGAUUCAAGACAUGAGUAGGAUUUCUUGCUGUAGAGCUCAGUGAAUAUUAUUUCAGUACUGCAGCUUUAGUUCUUCUUUUCUUGUCUUUUCCUGUGUCUCCUUUUGCUCCAUCUCUGGAGGCUUUCCCAGUCUUCUGCAGUAUUAAAUGGACACCUAAAUUCAUGUGGCUUAAGGUUAUUCAUAAUGUUAUGGAGUCCCUGCUGCUCUGAGAUGAAGAUGACCCGAGAUGGGACAGAUAGAAAAACAUCCUUUUAACAAGUCAGUUUGGAAGACCCAGUCCAAAGCAGUCACUGAGGGCAAAUCCUUCGGUCUGUGCUUCUCAAAAUUUAAUGUACUUAAGACAACCAGGGGAUCUCAGUUAAAAUGCCCUCAACUUUAGUAGGUUUGGGAUGGGUCUGAGAUUCUGCACUUCUAACAAGUUUCCUGAUUAUGUCAGUGCUGCUAGUUCGUAAACCACACUUUGAGAAGUAAGAGGAUAGGCAUUCCUGGAGCCACAGCCUCUCCUUCACAUCUGUGAGCUCCAGUGAGUAAACUGCUAAGGCCUAAGGGUGGCCUGAUGACUUGGCAGAAUUAGUGCAGCCUUUCUAAGUGAACAGGUUGCAGGUAGAAUGCAACAGAUCCUUGACAGGAUGUGGUGCCACCAUCUUUCCCAUCUGACAAAAACUGAGAUUAGUCAGUUGGGACUAUAAGAGAAUUCUCUCUCUACUUCCCAACUGCAAAUUAAAAUUAGAGUUUGGGAUGAUGUGGUUGUCCACAGGCUUUCAAUUUAUGUAACUAUUAACAAAACUUACAGUGAAGAAAGAUUUCUUAUUUUUUCAUAAAGUUCUAAACUUCAAAGGCAGCACAUAAGCCUAGAAUAGAAAUUAUGGGAAUUGGUGACACAGGAGAAAAAGAUCAGGCGAAGGGUGGAGAUUUGAACUUAAGUCAGGCUAGAAAGAGAGAUGAACCUGGCUUCCCAAAAGAGGAAAUCACAUUUAUCACAACUGAAAAUAAAGGCUAAUGGCUCAGAAGGCAUGAGAGAGCAAUAGGAGUAACUCAGGGCAGCAAAGGGCUGUGAUGACUUUGUCAAAGUUUUAUAUAUUUGAGAGAUGAAAUAAUUUUGAAAACUGCUGGGCCUGGUAUUUCUUUACCUAAAAAUCUUUCUCAAACUCCACCCCCUGCCACCAAAUCAUGAUAUGCUGGGAAAACCUGUCUUUACCGAGACAAGAGACAUAAGGAAUAAUUUUGGGGUUGUAUCUGUGUGUAUAAGAUGACUACUGUGCCCAAAACCACUAGUUGAAGGUGAUUAACAGUCAGUUGUUUCAAGACUGGAUACACCUAUAUUUUGGGGCCAUUAUAUAAGUCACUAGGGUAGGUGCUGGGGAUAAGCUUUUAUGAAUCAGAUAUAGUCCUAGUCCCCCAAAAUUCACAGUGCAGUGGGAGCAGGAUAUCCAGGGAGCUAAGUGCUAUAGGUCGCUGUAGAACUGACUAUACUGGGGAUUCAAUUUACUCAUUAUGGUGAAUAGGGAAGGUUUCUUUGAGCAUUUAACUAUGAAACUGCUUCCUAAAGGAUAAGUAGGAGUUAAACAAGGAAAGACCUGGGAAGAAUAUUACAGGUUGAGAGGUCAGGGUAUGGUGGUGGAAGCAUGGGGAACUCUAGGCUUUGUAAACACAGAGUAAGUGGGAAUGGCUACAGGAAGCUGUAGCAGAUGAUUCUGGAGAGAAAAGCUGAACAUGGACAGUGAAGGGUGAUGUAUUCCAUGAUGAGUUUAGACUAUAUGCUAGUGGUAUUUGGCAGGCAUCAGUUGGAAGUAACAGAAUGAUGUAACUAGACUUUUAAGUGAAAGAUUUACUUUGAUGACAGUAUGGGAAAUGGAUUGAAAAGACAAGACUGGAGAGGAGAAACCACUUAGAACACUGCUAGAGUCAACAGGUGAUAAAGGUAGGUGAUCUAGUUAAUAAGCAAAUAGAAGUGGAGGUGGACAGAGUGGAUGGACACUGGGAAGAUAGGAAUUUCAAAACAGUGUGGGAAGUUGUGGCUCAGUGGAAGAGGGAGGGUGAUACGGAAGAACAUGUGGACACAUACAGAUUCCUGGCUUGAGAAGCAAUAUCUGUGUAAACAGUUUUCUUUUCAAACCUUAGUUUGAAAUAUAUUAAACCAGAUAAUGGAAAACUCAUGAUUUUGAGCCAUUCAGCUAAGAAAUAGUAAAUAACCUGUGAUAUAAUGAGUUAUAAGAAAUAUGUAUAAAUACAUAUUUCCCAGGUGUAUUUGGUCUUCAUUCACAGUUUCUGAAAACACUGCAGAGUUUUAAAGGUGAAACAGUGUAUGGUCAUGUUAAUGAGAAACUUUUGUAUCCCCACCCAAGGGCAGAGGCUGUGGUCUGAAACAGCCAAUGGCCAAUAAUUUAGUCAAUCAUGGCUAUGCAAUGAAGCCCUCACAAAAGCCCUUGAGAAGAGCUUUUUGCUCCCUCUCUGCUCCACCUGCUCUGCUCAGCUGAAUCCUACUUUGUGUUCAGAGAGUUUCUAUGCUUGGGGAGCCAGAAUGCUUCCAUGUGCCACCGAGCCAGGCCCCAAGCCCCAUGAGGAUAGAAGCUCCUUUAAUCAGAAUCUUGCCCUGUGUCUCUCUUCAUCUGGCUGUUAACUUGUAUCCUUUAGGAUAUCCUUUUUUAAAUUGGUCGAAGUAAGUGUUUUCCUCAGUUCUGUGAGCUGCUCUAACAAAUUAGUUGAACCUAAGGGGGAGGUCAUGGGAACCUCCAAUCUGUGUAGCCAGCUAGUAAGUCAGAAGCACAGGUAACUGCCUGGGGCUCGUGACCAGCGUCUGGAGUGGGAGAUGGAGGGCUGUCUUGUAGGAUGGAGCCCUUUACUUGGGAUCAGGUGCUGUCUCUGGGAAGAUAGCAUCAGAAUUGAGUUGCAUUCUCCAACACCCUGGUGUUUGAGAAUUGCUUGAUGUAAGUAUGUGUGGGAAGACCCCCUCCCACAUAUUUAUACACAUUGGAAUUGGGUCUGGGUACCCGAAUGAAGUUAUACUAUUAUUACUGUUGUGUAUAAUAUUGUUACUGUUAUACAUUUAUGUAGGGAAAAAUACACCAUUGCUUUUGGUGUUGGAUGAAAAUAAAUCACAUAGCCCAACAGUGUAAGAUAAAAGCAUUGCCAAAUUAGUACAGUCCAUAAAUAUGUUUGUGAAGCUAGCAUUUACAUAAAUUUCAUCUUAGUGGGGUGGCUUUUAUUCAUUUUUCUAAGUCAUUUCAGCUCUGGUUGGAAGGAUAGGAAAAUGUUAACAGCCCCAGGACAAUUUCAUUUGAAAGAAAUAAUUGAGAUAUAGUUAUCUGCAAUAAUCAAGAAUUAUGGAAGGAAACAUCAGCUAAAAUAAAAAAUAACUAAACUGCAUCUGCUUCAGGAGAUCAAAGUGUGAUGUUAGCUCUCAUUUCUUAAAUUUAGGUUCUCAGUUUGGGUAAUCAGGCAAUAGAUACCACUGAUUCUUUGGUUAAAUAUUCUGAAUGAUAUUACAUAGUAUUUUCCUGAAAUUUAGAUGACAACAUUUUUUCUAUCAUGAAUUUCACACUUAAUCAGCAAAGCACCUUUGUACCAUCGUUGAUUAUCUACUUCAGCUCAUUUCCUCACUCCUCACCAUAUACUUCAGUGUAGUGCUUCUUGCUGUUUCUGAAAAAUGCCAGCAAAUUACACAUUUUCACAACCCUGGGCCUUUGCUGCUAAGUUUCUCUUUCUCCAGAAUUGCUUUCUAUUGCUUUGCCUUCCACCUUACCACCAUCAGGUCUCCUUUUAAAUGUUCUCAGUCCUUCCUCUUAGACCACACAGGUGAGCACUGAGCGCAUCCUCACCAGGCUCCCACAACAAAGUGAAUGUGACUAUUUUACAGGCUUCAUAUCAUUGUUUUACAUUUGUUUAUAGAUCUGUCUCUCAUUCUUGACUUAAGAUGCAUGAGAACAGGAACUACAGCUAAUUCCCUGAGGUAUCUUCAGCCCUAGCAACUGGGCUUUGGUUCUGACAUAAAACUUAUGUUUAUCAAAUGUUUAUAAAAUGAAUUGGUAUGAGAUUGUUGCCUAGGACUCUUAUGAAGACCAACACUACAAUGUAUAAUCUCUGAAUUUUAUUCUCUGGACAAUUUAAAAUUAACAGAAGAAAUGCGUAAUGGUGUAUGGGGCAGUUGGGGUUCCUAUGGCCAGGAUCCUCACUGAACUUAAACCACCUGAUGAUGUAACUGGCCUGUUGCUAGGCUACCACUUCCACACCUGUAGGCAAUAAGCUAUUAUUACGCUAUAUA
Non-coding RNA from Manis javanica (Malayan pangolin), 6168 nucleotides. The record is from RefSeq and is a predicted model, not a curated record. Lineage: Eukaryota; Metazoa; Chordata; Mammalia; Pholidota; Manidae.